GGGGAUUUAGCUCAGUGGUAGAGCACUUGUCUAGCAAGCACAAGGCCCUGGGUUCGGUCCCCAGCUCCG
Non-coding RNA from Rattus norvegicus (Norway rat), 69 nucleotides. The record is from Rfam. Lineage: Eukaryota; Metazoa; Chordata; Mammalia; Rodentia; Muridae.